CCACUUCAGAUUCAAAUUUGAGCUAGCCAAAAAUCUGAACUUAAUGUUUGUCCCCGAAAAUUAUCUUGUAACCUUGUCUGCAGCAUACUGUAUCUUACAAAGUUCAUCGCUAUUGCUGUUCCAUGGAAUUUAGAUACAAAGAAGUUUGCAGCUAAGAAUCGAGGAACAAGGGAAGUGUCUUCAGAUGAUGCUAGAGCAGCAGUGCAUACCCGGGGCAGAAAAGGCGCAGGAUGCUUCAACCGCUGCAGAUGCAUUGAGGUCACCUUCUGAGAUUCCAGAAUCUUCUACCGUCAAGGAAGUUCCAGAAAAUAGUCAAAAUGGAUCAACCAAGCAAACAAAAUAAGCUAAGGGCCGAUGAAGUUGCAAGCAUGAAAUGUGUUUCAUGAUCCGAUUGGCUGUUUCCAGGCUUAAAUCAAGUUGUUUUUGUCCUUCCGUGAGAACAGAUGAACGCUAUAGUUAACUUCCUUGCAAAGCCUGGCUAGGUGCAUGUAACUAGGAGUUAGUUGUAUAUUACCUACCCUCACGGUAUCACUGAAUCCCAGUGUUAUGCGGAUGAUGUAGUCUUCAGAAGACAGCGCAAGCACAUUGUCAGGGGUUUGACUUGUUUUGCCCCCCCCCCCCAUUACUUAGGUAUCAAGUAGCGUCUCCUAGGCAUUUGAUUAUGGGCUAAUUCAAGUGUUUACAAUAAUGUUUAGCACCUGUUGUUUAAAACAUGUCAUGGUACCAAAUAUGACGAAGAUGUAUUGCAUUUAUAUGAGAGAAUGAGAGAUUUGAACUGCUUUAGUUUGGUCUCCGACCAUAA
This is a long non-coding RNA of Zea mays, 802 nucleotides long. RefSeq lists it as uncharacterized. The record is from RefSeq and is a predicted model, not a curated record. Lineage: Eukaryota; Viridiplantae; Streptophyta; Magnoliopsida; Poales; Poaceae. The transcript is spliced from 2 exons.